UACGGAGGAUGCGAGCGUUAUCCGGAUUUAUUGGGUUUAAAGGGUGCGUAGGCGGGCUUUUAAGUCAGCGGUAAAAAUUCGGGGCUCAACCCCGUCCGGCCGUUGAAACUGGGGGCCUUGAGUGGGCGAGAAGAAGGCGGAAUGCGUGGUGUAGCAGUGAAAUGCAUAGAUAUCACGCAGAACCCCGAUUGCGAAGGCAGCCUUCCGGCGCCCUACUGACGCUGAGGCACGAAAGUGCGGGGAUCGAACAGG
RNAcentral lists this ribosomal RNA (252 nucleotides) under uncultured bacterium. Its description in RNAcentral is "partial 16S ribosomal RNA". It matches the Rfam family "Bacterial small subunit ribosomal RNA", at positions 524 to 776 of the family's 1533-position model. The record is from RNAcentral.